Manis javanica (Malayan pangolin) is the source of this 791-nucleotide long non-coding RNA. RefSeq lists it as uncharacterized. The record is from RefSeq and is a predicted model, not a curated record. Lineage: Eukaryota; Metazoa; Chordata; Mammalia; Pholidota; Manidae.
CUGGGAAGUUUUAGGCUCUCCAAAGAGCAGAAGCAUAUUCCUGCAUGCUCUGCGGAGGGUGAUGGGCCCUUAGGGAGGCUCCACAGGGACUGUGGACAUCACGCAUCCAGCAUCAAGGGUUCCAAGGAGACACACAGCAGAUCUGGCAUCCCACCCCGACCAUAGGAGAAACCGAGGCAGAGAAUGAGAAAUGUAACCCACCUGCAUUGGAAUCUCCUCCGUCUACCAGGGCACCUCCUGGGCGAUUGUCAUGUACACCCCAAACUAAGAUCUACUUAGUAGAAUUAGACAGACGUCAUUUCAAGUGCGCACGGAUCAGGGAGGCCUCGAGUUACAAAGAAGAUCCAGGAGGAUCACCUCCGACUCCCCGUCUCUGGGAGGCCCCACCUCCUACUAUUUUCAAUUUCCAUUAUCCUGAAACUUCUCUAAUGAUUUAGAAACUGAUCCUUCAGAACCAGGCAUUCUCUGUUCUCAUUCUCUUGGCCCAAGGGUUGCUGGAAUGUGCAUGCAUGCAUGUGUGUGUGUGUAGGUGAGCGUGUGUGCAUGCAACAUGUGUGCAUGUGUGUAGCACGUGAAAGCCUUGGAGCAGGAGAGGAGGAGGGCAUCUGCCCUUCAAGGUCUUUAAGAUGAGGAUCUGAGUUGCUCCGCUUUAUUUUGCCUGUGGAUCUGGAAGCUCCGUAACGCCUUGAAAGCAAGUCUGAUGAGCUCACAAGCUAGAACAAUUCCCAGAGAGGACUUACUUUCUGCCCUAGUGUUUACAACCUAAGUGGCUUGUCUGAGCUUUCAUGAGC